This is a non-coding RNA of Anas platyrhynchos (mallard), 215 nucleotides long. NCBI's taxonomy places the organism in Eukaryota, Metazoa, Chordata, Aves, Anseriformes, Anatidae. The record is from RefSeq and is a predicted model, not a curated record.
AGCAAAGCAAGCUAGAAGAAAACGGUAUGUCCGGGAUCCAAAACUCCGUAUUACAGCGGAUCUUCUCCUCUGAUCUGAAAAGCUUCACAGGCCAAAAGAGAAUUGAGAGGAAGAAGGAAAUAGAGAAUGCUGACCAGUAUUUCCAAUUACCACCCCAACUUCUGUCUUGGCUCUUCGCAUCCAGCCAGAGCAGCUUCUUUGCCUCCGCAACGUGC